CAACCUAAAAAAUGUAUUAUCAACCUAAGAAAUGGAAAAGUCAAAGGACAGCUGAGAAAACUUGAAAGGAGAGCAGGGGGCUUGAGAAAAGGGGGAAGAAGGCUUAGCAGCACUGUGUGUUCGUCUUUGGUAGGAUCAGGAGUACUGUCAGAAGUUGAGGGAACAAGCACAGAGGUAAGUAAAUGAUUGAAGGCUGAAAGAUAACCAACCAGUGCAGGGAGGAGAUAGAAAAGCCAAACCAAAUGAACACUCCCUGUGUGUUUUUUUUUUUAAUUGAGAUAUGGAAUAUAUGCAAUGAUAUGCAUGCAUUGCAUAAUCUUAAGUAAACAGCUUGAUGAAUUUUUACACGUGUGUAUAUCAGGGCAACCAUCACCCAGAUUGAGAUGUAGAACAUUGCCAGCACUCCAAAAAAUUCCCUCGUGCUUCUUUCUCAUCAAUCCACUUCCUCUUAGAAGUAGCUUCUGUUCUGACUUCUGCAUCAUCCAUCUGUUUUGUCUGUUCUUGAUCUUCAGAAGCUGCCACCAGCAAAACCAGUUGUUUUAAUGGCUGAGAACACCCUUGCUGCUGGCCUGAUUUUCUGUGAUGAUGGCAACAACCUGAUUCCUGGAGGUAAAACUCGACUCUCUCUCUCAAGAUGCUUGCAUUACCUGUUUCCAUGGGCAUAAGAAGAGUCUCUGGCUGGGAUAUCAUGGAAGAAGUUUCUGAACUGGUAGACUUCUGACAAGAUUAACGACCCCCAGGUUUUCUCCUAAUUUCAAGAUUCAACAAAAGUUCUGGAAUGUUCUUGGGUUGAUUUUGUUUUGUUUUGUUUUAAUUCCACAGCCUUUGGCAUUCCAGUUCAGAGGACAAGUCUGAUAGUCUCCAUUCCUUUCAUUUUAUCAACUCUUAACAAAAGCUACUAGGCUCAGGCCAAAGGGGUAUUUUGACAUGAACAAUGCUUCUCAGGAAAAGAAGUGCCCAAAUUUUUAUCCUGUUAUUUGAGUGAAAGUUCUAAGUCCUUCCCUGAUGUUCCCUGGAAUUGUGAUUUAAUGACUAGUCACACCAGAACGGAACACAUGUUUCUACUUGCAAGAUUAUUAAGCACAUUACACAGUUCCAUUAUUGCCUUCCUGAGUCACCCUGCAUGUACUAGUGUCUGCGUAGAUUGCUUUUCAAAGGGUUUAAUAGAGAAAAGUGUUAGAAUACGUGUAAUUAAAUUCACUUAUUUUUACUUUAGCUUUUAAUUAUUUUUAAUGUAUUGACCACAGAGUAAGGAGAAAGUAUAGUAAAGAAAAAACAAUAUCAGCACUUAAUGUGGAAGGUUAUUGUUAUUGUUUUACUAAUAGAAUUUUGAGUUACAUAAGUGAACUGGAUAUACAUCAAUCAACAAUUUUCUCUAACAGGGAUUCUUACGUUUUGAAGUAUUUACCUUUAGAAAAGUAUCUGUUUCAAUAAGAAUGAUUCCCCAGGCUGAGGCUGUGGCUCAGUGGUAGAAUGCUUGCCUAGCAUGUGUGAGGCACUGGGUUCGAUUCUAAACACCACAUAUAAAUAAAUAAAGGUUCAUCAACAACUAAUAAAAUAUUUUAAAAAAAAAGAAUUAUUCCCAUAAAAAUUCUAUGUGUUUUAGAAUUUUAUAUUGAAAGCUCCUCUUAGGCAAUCCCAAUAAGCAUACUGGAAAUUAAUAUAAAAAUUUGACAUUCAACUUCUAAGAAUUUAAAACAUCUCUAAGAUGAUGUACAAUCAAUCAACAAAUACAAGAAAAAAUGUUCAUCAUCACCAGCAAUUAGAGAGAUGCAAAUCAAAACCACUGUAAGAUUUCAUCUCAUUCUAGUCAGAAUGGCAGCUAUUAUGCCAAUAACAAAAGUGUUGGCGAGAAUGUGGGGGGAAAAGUACACUCACACACUGCUGGUGGGACUGCAAAUUGGUGCAGCCAAUAUGGAAAGCAGUAUGAAGAUUUCUUGGAAAAUUGGGAAUGGAACCACCAUCUGACCCAGCUAUUCCUCUCCUCAGUCUAUGCCCAAAGGACUUAAAAACAGCAUACUACAGGGACACAGCCACAUCAAUGUUUAUAGCAGCACAAUUCACUAUAGCUAAACUGUGGAAGCAACCUAGAUGUCCUUCAGUAGAUGAAUGGAUUUAAAAAAAUGUGGCAUUUAUACACAAUGGAAUAUUAGUCAGUAAUAAAAGAGAAUAAAAUCAUGGCACUUGCAGGUAAAUGGAUGGAAUUAGAGAAGAUAAUGCUAAGUGAAGUUAGCCAAUACCAAAAAACUAAAUGCUAAAUGUUUUCUUUGAUAUAAGGAGGCUGAUUCAUAGUGGGAUAGGGAGCAGGAGCAUGGGAGGAAUAGACAACUCUAGA
Long non-coding RNA from Marmota monax (woodchuck), 2335 nucleotides. RefSeq lists it as uncharacterized. The transcript is spliced from 3 exons. Lineage: Eukaryota; Metazoa; Chordata; Mammalia; Rodentia; Sciuridae. The record is from RefSeq and is a predicted model, not a curated record.